UUUCGCUGCGACCGGGGGAAACGCCCGGUCCCAUUCCGAACCCGGAAGCUAAGACCCACAGCGCCGAUGGUACUGCACCCGGGAGGGUGUGGGAGAGUAGGUCACCGCCGGAA
This 113-nucleotide ribosomal RNA is filed under the name Arthrobacter sp. EPSL27. Lineage: Bacteria; Bacillati; Actinomycetota; Actinomycetes; Micrococcales; Micrococcaceae. The record is from RNAcentral.